This 275-nucleotide ribosomal RNA is filed under the name uncultured bacterium. RNAcentral's name for it is "partial 16S ribosomal RNA". It matches the Rfam family "Bacterial small subunit ribosomal RNA", at positions 338 to 604 of the family's 1533-position model. The record is from RNAcentral.
CCUACGGGGGGCUGCAGUGGGGAAUCUUGCGCAAUGGGGGAAACCCUGACGCAGCGACGCCGCGUGGGCGACGAAGGCCUUCGGGUUGUAAAGCCCUGUGGGGCGGGACGAACCGCCGAGGAGCGAAUAUCUCUUCGGUCUGACGGUACCGCCUUAGCAAGCACCGGCUAACUCUGUGCCAGCAGCCGCGGUAAGACAGAGGGUGCGAACGUUGCUCGGAAUUACUGGGCGUAAAGCGCGUGUAGGCGGCCUCGCGAGUCGGGUGUGAAAGCCCG